RNAcentral lists this ribosomal RNA (1554 nucleotides) under Klebsiella pneumoniae. RNAcentral's name for it is "bacterial SSU rRNA". It matches the Rfam family "Bacterial small subunit ribosomal RNA". Lineage: Bacteria; Pseudomonadati; Pseudomonadota; Gammaproteobacteria; Enterobacterales; Enterobacteriaceae. The record is from RNAcentral.
ACUUAAAUUGAAGAGUUUGAUCAUGGCUCAGAUUGAACGCUGGCGGCAGGCCUAACACAUGCAAGUCGAGCGGUAGCACAGAGAGCUUGCUCUCGGGUGACGAGCGGCGGACGGGUGAGUAAUGUCUGGGAAACUGCCUGAUGGAGGGGGAUAACUACUGGAAACGGUAGCUAAUACCGCAUAAYGUCGCAAGACCAAAGUGGGGGACCUUCGGGCCUCAUGCCAUCAGAUGUGCCCAGAUGGGAUUAGCUAGUAGGUGGGGUAACGGCUCACCUAGGCGACGAUCCCUAGCUGGUCUGAGAGGAUGACCAGCCACACUGGAACUGAGACACGGUCCAGACUCCUACGGGAGGCAGCAGUGGGGAAUAUUGCACAAUGGGCGCAAGCCUGAUGCAGCCAUGCCGCGUGUGUGAAGAAGGCCUUCGGGUUGUAAAGCACUUUCAGCGGGGAGGAAGGCGKURAGGUUAAUAACCUYRKCGAUUGACGUUACCCGCAGAAGAAGCACCGGCUAACUCCGUGCCAGCAGCCGCGGUAAUACGGAGGGUGCAAGCGUUAAUCGGAAUUACUGGGCGUAAAGCGCACGCAGGCGGUCUGUCAAGUCGGAUGUGAAAUCCCCGGGCUYAACCUGGGAACUGCAUUCGAAACUGGCAGGCUAGAGUCUUGUAGAGGGGGGUAGAAUUCCAGGUGUAGCGGUGAAAUGCGUAGAGAUCUGGAGGAAUACCGGUGGCGAAGGCGGCCCCCUGGACAAAGACUGACGCUCAGGUGCGAAAGCGUGGGGAGCAAACAGGAUUAGAUACCCUGGUAGUCCACGCCGUAAACGAUGUCGAUUUGGAGGUUGUGCCCUUGAGGCGUGGCUUCCGGAGCUAACGCGUUAAAUCGACCGCCUGGGGAGUACGGCCGCAAGGUUAAAACUCAAAUGAAUUGACGGGGGCCCGCACAAGCGGUGGAGCAUGUGGUUUAAUUCGAUGCAACGCGAAGAACCUUACCUGGUCUUGACAUCCACAGAACUUWSCAGAGAUGSWUUGGUGCCUUCGGGAACUGUGAGACAGGUGCUGCAUGGCUGUCGUCAGCUCGUGUUGUGAAAUGUUGGGUUAAGUCCCGCAACGAGCGCAACCCUUAUCCUUUGUUGCCAGCGGUCCGGCCGGGAACUCAAAGGAGACUGCCAGUGAUAAACUGGAGGAAGGUGGGGAUGACGUCAAGUCAUCAUGGCCCUUACGACCAGGGCUACACACGUGCUACAAUGGCAUAUACAAAGAGAAGCGACCUCGCGAGAGCAAGCGGACCUCAUAAAGUAUGUCGUAGUCCGGAUUGGAGUCUGCAACUCGACUCCAUGAAGUCGGAAUCGCUAGUAAUCGUAGAUCAGAAUGCUACGGUGAAUACGUUCCCGGGCCUUGUACACACCGCCCGUCACACCAUGGGAGUGGGUUGCAAAAGAAGUAGGUAGCUUAACCUUCGGGAGGGCGCUUACCACUUUGUGAUUCAUGACUGGGGUGAAGUCGUAACAAGGUAACCGUAGGGGAACCUGCGGUUGGAUCACCUCCUUACCUUAAAGAA